UGAGGAAUAUUGGUCAAUGGGCGAGAGCCUGAAUCAGCCAAGUAGCGUGCAGGAUGACGGCCCUAUGGGUUGUAAACUGCUUUUAUGUGGGGAUAAAGUGCGUGACGUGUCAUGCAUUGCAGGUACCACAUGAAUAAGGACCGGCUAAUUCCGUGCCAGCAGCCGCGGUAAUACGGAAGGUCCGGGCGUUAUCCGGAUUUAUUGGGUUUAAAGGGAGCGUAGGCUGUCUAUUAAGCGUGUUGUGAAAUUUACCGGCUCAACCGGUGGCUUGCAGCGCGAACUGGUCGACUUGAGUAUGCAGGAAGUAGGCGGAAUUCAUGGUGUAGCGGUGAAAUGCUUAGAUAUCAUGACGAACUCCGAUUGCGCAGGCAGCUUACUGUAGCAUAACUGACGCUGAUGCUCGAAAGUGCGGGUAUCAAACAGG
Molecule: ribosomal RNA, 424 nt
Filed under: Fusobacteriota bacterium
Lineage: Bacteria; Fusobacteriati; Fusobacteriota
Description: Fusobacteria bacterium partial 16S ribosomal RNA
Rfam family: Bacterial small subunit ribosomal RNA
Source: RNAcentral